AGUGAGCUUUUGGCACUCUUCAAAAUGACAAUUUGAAUAUAUUCUUGAAUGACUGUAUGUUUUCUUGAUCAGAAGCUGAAUAGAAAUAGUUGUCAGGAAGUCAGACUGCUAUAUGCAUUGAAGAAGCUGAUUCUAGCUAUCAUGGGAUUGAUCAUUCUGAAAAGAGUUGAAACUUUGUUCCUGAAUUUCAAAUCCAUGUUUCGAUUGAAGAAACCUGAAAACCAUC
RNAcentral lists this long non-coding RNA (226 nucleotides) under Solanum tuberosum (potato). Its description in RNAcentral is "long non-coding RNA (STUB_LNC006244)". The record is from RNAcentral. Lineage: Eukaryota; Viridiplantae; Streptophyta; Magnoliopsida; Solanales; Solanaceae.